CUAGAUGACUUCACCAUCAACCAAAGCUCGGGUUUUUCUGCCAGCCUGCGAGCCCUUAAAUCUUUCCUUAAACCCUUGACCUUAAAGAUUAUACACAAGAAGUUCCCGAGUCAUGGGAACAAGGGAAGAACGAAAAGGGCUCUGUGAAUCUGCAAUAAAAACCCAUUCACGAGAUUUGUUUGCUUGUAGAUUUUUGGCAUAUGUGAAAGCUGGUGUUCUUGCAGAAAUCUUCAGCUUAGAUAACUCAUUCUAGGCCUCGGGGUUCCUAUGAUGGAUGAGUUGUAAAGAAUGUUCAAGAUAUUAUCAACCACGUCAUUAAACAUAUGUAUUGCUUCACUUUGUAGAGUUAAAAAUUUGAAGAAUGCCGAAGCAGUUUUGAUAGAUGGUAUUAGAGUUGGAAUACUACCUGAUGUGGUUACAUACAAUACACUGAUUGAUGGAUACUGUCGUCUAUUUGGCAUUGAUUCUGGUUAUUCAGUUCUUGGUAGAAUGAUGGAAGCCGGGAUACACCCGAAUGUCAUUACAUACAACACUUUGUUGUCUUGUGCAAGUAGAUAUAGGUUGUUGUACCAAUCUCUUGAUAUAUUUGAUGAAAUGCUUCAAGUGGGCAUUCUUCCUGAUGUUUGGAGUUACAAUAUAUUGAUGCAUUGCUUUUUCAAGGUGGGGAAACCAGAUGAGGCUUACAGGGUUUUUAAAGAUAUAUUUUUGAGGAAUAUUUAUCCUUCUCCAGCCACAUUUAAUAUCAUGUUCACUGGACUUUGCAAGAAUUGGUAUACGGAUAAUGCUCUUAUGUUACUUCGGAAUUUGCAGCGUAAUGGAUUUAGACCUGAGUUGGUAACUUAUAACAUUCUUAUUGAUGGGCUAUGUAAGUCGGGAAAGUGGAGGACGGUGAAAGGGCUUCUGAAGGAAAUAUUGGAUUAUGGCCAUAUUCCAAAUGCCAUAACUUACACUACGGUUAUGAAAUGUUGCUUCAAAAAUAAAAUGUUCAAUGAAGGGCUUGAGAUUUUUUCAGAAAUGAAGGCGAAAGGAUAUACUUUCGAUGGCUUUGCUUACUGCACGGUCGCUGGUGCUUUACUUAGAACUGGUAGAAUAGAAGAGGCAAAUCAAUGCAUGGGAAACAUGUUUAGAAGUGGUAUUGAUCUUGACAUGGUGUGUUAUAAUACCCUAAUUAAUUUGUAUUGCAAGGAAGGUAAGUUGGAAGAUGCCUUUGGGUUGUUGGAUGAGGUAGAAAAGAUGGGAUUGGAAUGUGACAUUUACACCCACACUAUUUUGAUUGAUGGGUUGUGCAAAGCAGGUAAUAUACAGGGUGCCCAGCGACAUUUAAAGUACUUGAAUAAGGUGGGCUUUGGGACAAAUUUGGUUGCUUUUAAUAGUUUUAUUGAUGGAUUGUGUAAACUUGGUCAGAUUGAGUAUGCAAUGCAGGUGUUCGAAUCCAUGAAAGUGAAGGAUGAGUUUACUUAUUCCUCCAUUGUGCAAGGACUUUGCAGUGCUGGAAGAUUUCAUUUGGCUGCUAGGCUACUCCUAUGCUGUGUUAGAAGUGGAGUGAGAAUUUUAAGGUCUGAUAAAAAGGCUGUUAUUCGUGGUCUUCGUUUUACAGGCUUUGGUCCUCAAGCUAAGAAGGUCCAGUCAAAUAUUCGCUUGGCCAAGUUACUGCACUAUUGAUGUGUUAUGGAGACAAAAAUUUUGUAUCUGCAAAAGAGAUUAUUCCUGUGCUGGCUGGAAAUUCGGGGUUCAUACUUUUUAUGAAAGUGAACCAACAGUCCACCUUGUAAUUUAUUUGAAAUGACUACUCUACUUAUGAGUUAUGACCAGCAGAUUGACAUUAUGGUACAGAGAAGCAAUUUCCUUCACCAUCCUUAUUGCUUAAAGAGAGAAGCAAUUUUGUUCACCAUGCUAACAAAGUUAAAGGCCUGACGAGAGUUGGAAGCUGGACAACUAUUUUCUCUGAAAUUGUGGACAACUUGCUCAAUGUUGUUGAGCAACUGAAGGCAAUUAAAGUUGACUAAUUUAGCAUCAAAAGACAAUAUCAUGGUUCGGAAAUAAAAACAAUUGCAUUUUGGGAUCUGUCACUUUCUGGGAAAUUAAAGAAAGGAAAACAAUUGAAGUAAGCUGGCAUUGUUAAUACUGGAUUUUGUAUAUCCUUCAGGCUAACACAUAUGCUGAAAAGGGUGUAACAGCUCAAAACUGUUGUCACAUAUUUUCUGUCAUGGAUACUGGUGCCACUCAAAACUUAUUGCACUCUUAAGAUAUGUUCUCCUUUUGGUAUGGGUUCAUAUUCUCAAGGGGCUGGCUCUAAACUGAACACGGACUGUUUUAGCGCGGCUCUCCAUUUUUGUCACUGAAAUCGGGUUCUAGGUUCAUUUCUCAUAUGUGAUCUCAGUGGCACAAUGCAGUAAUGGCCUUGAUAAUUAUCGAAGGUUAAACAAGGAAAAGGAUCCGAAGAAUGGUUUUAGCCAUCAAGGAAGUACUGAUGUGUCAAUGUUCUGCAUCCAAAAUGCACAUGUCAACAUGUAAUGAUACACAAUCUGUGCAUAUAACAUUUGCCUUGCAGUAGAAACUUUGGUAGGGAAUCGCAAGUCAGAAUGCAAAACUGUACUUGUCCAUGAAAUUGAUGGUUUUUUUGUCCUUUGAUUGGGAUUAUUUCCUAAAUGAAACAAAACAAGGAAAUCCAGUGUUGCUCGUUAUUGAGAAAACAAGUGGCAAGAGAACAUUCAGCAUUUUGUUGGGUGAUUUUUGAUCAAGCAUUGGCCUAAGCUGAGCCCUUAAACUUUACAGAUUUCGACAAAGGGUACGAAUUCCUUUCUGGAAAUUAAUGACUCAAACACGAGAUAUCUAUACUUAGAACAUUCUGGCUCUCAAGAACGUUGAGAUUAUGAAGCCAACUACCAAACAUGCUAGAAGAAAGUUACAGAACUGUUUACAUCUCCUUGGACUCUCUCUUGGGGAAUCAUAUCCAGCGACUGCCAUCGGUCUUAUUUCAUGGACAAGUGAAACACCAGAAUGAAUCUUUUAUUCAAACAGAAGAAUAUGACGAUAGAACUUCAACAUGGAAAUGAUCUGGGACGAAGGCUAACCUGUUUCCUCUCUGCUGAAACCAUGUUUCAGCACAAGAACGAUGCGAGAUCCCAAGUUCUCCUCUACAAUGGCAACCGAGCUGAAUGAGUUCUGAGCUCCCUGAUGAUGAUGGUUCGUUCCCCAAAUGACAUAUUCUACAAAUCUGUUCUGCUCUCAAAUGCUCUUCAUCAAUCUUCACAUCAUCCGCAUGAGAACCAGUCUCUUCUUUUGGCCGUUUAUCUUCUCGUCCUUCCCCCAAUGAUGUCCCUUCUGGGCUUCCCGAAUCAUUUGUACUCAGCAUUCUUGAAUCAUCAUUAGCAUCUUCAACCCUUGGCUCCACUCCUGCGGUGCUUGCUUCGACUCCAAUGUUGACUGAAGAUUUUGGAAAGCAGUUCUGUGUACUUUGUGCAUGAUCAACUAAUUCAGGUGGCUCCAUUGAAAAUUAAUUUUAGUGAUCCAAAUUUUUGUUGUUA
Molecule: RNA transcript, 3527 nt
Organism: Coffea arabica (coffee)
Lineage: Eukaryota; Viridiplantae; Streptophyta; Magnoliopsida; Gentianales; Rubiaceae
Source: RefSeq, a predicted model, not a curated record